This is a long non-coding RNA of Osmerus eperlanus (European smelt), 568 nucleotides long. RefSeq lists it as uncharacterized. The transcript has 3 exons. NCBI's taxonomy places the organism in Eukaryota, Metazoa, Chordata, Actinopteri, Osmeriformes, Osmeridae. The record is from RefSeq and is a predicted model, not a curated record.
UGGAAAUUGGACAGUGUGUGCUGAGGUUUUCUUAAGCUUGAUGUCGUGGAAACCCCACACCCCUUAACCUGCUACAAUUUAUUUAUAUGUAAAGUUGUUUCUGUGGUUACCAGUAAGGACUCUACUCCUUUGGAGUCAGCUGAGGAGGUUCCCACAGUGACCCAGUUAAACUCUACUCAGCACUUAUUUGACAGUGAGAUGCAGAAACUGCAGGACAUUUUUACUUCAGCAGAAGGUCAAAGUGCAAGUGAGGCGCCUUCAACGUCCACAUCAUGGAGCUUGCGCCAAUCAGCAGCCCAAGAGGAGUGGCGGAAAGCAAGGUCUUAUCACCUUAGCUCCUUGCUGUCCUGCAAUGUGGUUCCAGAGAGAAACUGCAUCCACUGCACAUCUCCUGCCAUCAUUCGCUGCAGAGACUGCAUGCCAGAGGAGUGGCUGUGUAUGGAUUGCGACAUCCGCAUCCAUGCAAAACUUGCACUCCAUAACAGGGAGUCCUGCAUCGAUGGGAUUUACAAGCCCAUUGACCCAACAGAGUGCUGUAUGCAAAAAGAUGGCAGAUACACACUGUUCA